Long non-coding RNA from Olea europaea var. sylvestris, 278 nucleotides. RefSeq lists it as uncharacterized. NCBI's taxonomy places the organism in Eukaryota, Viridiplantae, Streptophyta, Magnoliopsida, Lamiales, Oleaceae. The transcript is spliced from 3 exons. The record is from RefSeq and is a predicted model, not a curated record.
UAAGGGGACUUGGACUUGGGGUUACACCAUCAAAAAUAGAUGGAAAUACACAAAGCAGUGAGAAAGUGAGAGACCUUGAGAGAAAAUUACAAACUCAAUCAGUAAGGAUGGAAGCACUCGAAGAAAAGGUUGAAGCACUUCUGAAGUUAUCCCAGAAUCAAAAUAAGAAUGUAGAGGAUAUGAGUUCACGUGCUUUUACUCCACAGUCUCAACAAGGAAGUGGUAUGGAGGGAGGUAUUGCACCAGUGGAAAAUGGAAAGUGUCAACUAUUGCACUGG